This is a non-coding RNA of Podarcis lilfordi (Lilford's wall lizard), 90 nucleotides long. Lineage: Eukaryota; Metazoa; Chordata; Lepidosauria; Squamata; Lacertidae. The record is from the annotation of a GenBank genome assembly.
UGCACAAGAUGACAUACAGUGGUACCUCUGGUUGCAAACGGGAUCUGUUCCGGAGUCCCGUUUGCAACCUGAAAGGAAUGCAACCACGUC